GGGGGCGUGUUUGGCUUUCGACGGGGGUUGGCUGGAGCCGGAUAAGCGGGUCGCAGUUCCGGAGUGCUGCGUUAAAAAGCCGGAUUAAAAUUAGUUGCAGACAACACUAAACUCGCUUACGCUGCGUAAGUCAGCGUAAUGCCCUGCCGGCGGCACCCUAAUCGCCGGGCCAGGGUAUCAUCAGCUAGGGGAACCGCCUCCGCAAAGCUUUGAGCGGAGGAAGGGUAUCAUGAAGCUACCGAAAGCAUGCCCCUGAGCGUGGGGGUGUGCGGAGGGAAACGGUUAAAAUACACGCUCUGCACCCGGAGAAAGUCCGACUUUGGGACCUUCGGACAGGGGUUCGACUCCCCUCGCCUCCACCA
RNAcentral lists this transfer-messenger RNA (362 nucleotides) under Christensenellaceae bacterium. It matches the Rfam family "transfer-messenger RNA". Rfam says of the family: Bacterial tmRNA, also known as 10Sa RNA or SsrA, is named for its dual tRNA and mRNA-like properties. Its role is to liberate the mRNA from a stalled ribosome. To accomplish this part of the tmRNA is used as a reading frame that ends in a translation stop signal. The record is from RNAcentral. RNAcentral also lists the same sequence under 1 other name. Lineage: Bacteria; Bacillati; Bacillota; Clostridia; Christensenellales; Christensenellaceae.